Molecule: ribosomal RNA, 467 nt
Filed under: uncultured bacterium
Lineage: Bacteria
Description: partial 16S ribosomal RNA
Rfam family: Bacterial small subunit ribosomal RNA
Source: RNAcentral
GACGAACGCUGGCGGCGUGCUUAACACAUGCCAGUCGAACGGAAAGGCUCCAGCUUGCUGGAGUACUCGAGUGGCGAACGGGUGAGUAACACGUGGGGAAUCCGCCCUGCACUCUGGGAUAAGCCUGCGAAACUGGGUCUAAUACUGGAUAUGACCUUUCUCCUUAUGGGGUUUGGUGGAAAGAUUUUCGGUGUAUGAUGGGUCCGCGGCCUAUCAGCUCGCUGGUGGGGUUAUGGCCGACCAAGGCGACGCCGGGUAGCCGGCCUGAGAGGGUGAUCGGGCUCAUGGCGACUGAGGUACGGACCAGAAUCCAAUGGGAGGCAGUGGUGGGAAAUAUUGCAGAAUGGGGGGGAGUCAGUGGCGGAGGCGCCGCGUGCGUGAUGACCGCCUUCGGGUUAUAAACAUCUUUGAGCGGAAAUGAAGCGUAAGUGACGGUACCUGAAGAAGAAGCAACGGCUAACUAUGUG